GACGAACGCUGGCGGCGUGCUUAACACAUGCAAGUCGAGCGGUAAGGCCCUUUCGGGGGUACACGAGCGGCGAACGGGUGAGUAACACGUGGGUGACCUGCCCUCAGCUCUGGGAUAAGCCUGGGAAACCGGGUCUAAUACCGGAUAUGACUCCAUGACGCAUGUUGUGGGGUGGAAAGCCUUGUGCGGCUGAGGAUGGGCCCGCGGCCUAUCAGCUUGUUGGUGGGGUGAUGGCCUACCAAGGCGACGACGGGUAGCCGGCCUGAGAGGGCGACCGGCCACACUGGGACUGAGACACGGCCCAGACUCCUACGGGAGGCAGCAGUGGGGAAUCUUGCGCAAUGGGGGAAAGCCUGACGCAGCGACGCCGCGUGAGGGAUGACGGCCU
RNAcentral lists this ribosomal RNA (388 nucleotides) under uncultured bacterium. RNAcentral describes it as "bacterial SSU rRNA". It matches the Rfam family "Bacterial small subunit ribosomal RNA", at positions 28 to 417 of the family's 1533-position model. The record is from RNAcentral.